UGGGGCGUCGUCAAGCGGUAAGACACUGGACUUUGGAUCCAGCAUCCGGAGGUUCGAAUCCUCCCGCCCCAGCCA
This 75-nucleotide transfer RNA is filed under the name Acidobacteriota bacterium. RNAcentral describes it as "Acidobacteria bacterium tRNA-Gln". It matches the Rfam family "tRNA". From Rfam's summary of the family: Transfer RNA (tRNA) molecules are approximately 80 nucleotides in length. Lineage: Bacteria; Pseudomonadati; Acidobacteriota. RNAcentral also lists the same sequence under 3 other names. The record is from RNAcentral.